CACUCCUACGGGAGGCAGCAGUGGGGAAUAUUGCACAAUGGGCGCAAGCCUGAUGCAGCCAUGCCGCGUGUAUGAAGAAGGCCUUCGGGUUGUAAAGUACUUUCAGCGGGGAGGAAGGCAAUACGGUUAAUAACCGUGUUGAUUGACGUUACCCGCAGAAGAAGCACCGGCUAACUCCGUGCCAGCAGCCGCGGUAAUACGGAGGGUGCAAGCGUUAAUCGGAAUUACUGGGCGUAAAGCGCACGCAGGCGGUCUGUCAAGUCGGAUGUGAAAUCCCCGGGCUCAACCUGGGAACUGCAUUCGAAACUGGCAGGCUUGAGUCUUGUAGAGGGGGGUAGAAUUCCAGGUGUAGCGGUGAAAUGCGUAGAGAUCUGGAGGAAUACCGGUGGCGAAGGCGGCCCCCUGGACAAAGACUGACGCUCAGGUGCGAAAGCGUGGGGAGCAAACAGGAUUAGAAACCCGGGUAGUCCCAUG
This 474-nucleotide ribosomal RNA is filed under the name uncultured organism. RNAcentral's name for it is "partial 16S ribosomal RNA". It matches the Rfam family "Bacterial small subunit ribosomal RNA", at positions 334 to 799 of the family's 1533-position model. The record is from RNAcentral.